RNAcentral lists this transfer RNA (64 nucleotides) under Limnoria quadripunctata. Its description in RNAcentral is "tRNA-Leu". Lineage: Eukaryota; Metazoa; Arthropoda; Malacostraca; Isopoda; Limnoriidae. The record is from RNAcentral.
ACUAACUUGGCAGAGAUAUGCAAAUAACUUAGACCUAUUUUACGUGAUACAAUCACAGUUUAUU